AUGGGUGAUUGAACUCCUCAAAGAGUGUAUGGAGUUCGAUUGGAGCCUAGUUUAUCAAGCUUGAAUAGCAUCCUGAAGAGUGGCAAGGAAGGACUUACAUAAUUGAGCAUCUAAGAUCCGUUAUGAUAUUAUAAGGGCCUUGAAGCUCUCUAGAUGGUCAUAGGGGUUUGUGGUGUCAUUGUAGACUCUGAUCGAUGGUACCUUGAAGCGG
Molecule: long non-coding RNA, 211 nt
Filed under: Elaeis guineensis (African oil palm)
Lineage: Eukaryota; Viridiplantae; Streptophyta; Magnoliopsida; Arecales; Arecaceae
Description: long non-coding RNA (EGUI_LNC045107)
Source: RNAcentral